GAUGAACGCUGGCGGUGUGCCUAAUACAUGCAAGUCGAACGAACGGACGAGAAGCUUGCUCUUUUGGGGUUAGCGGCGGACGGGUGAGUAACACGUGGAUAACCUACCUAUAUUACUGGGAUAACUUCGGGGAACAGGAGCUAAUACCGGAUAAUAUUUUGAACCGCGUGGGUCAAAAGUGAAAGACGGUCUUGCUGUCACUUAUAGAUGGAUCCGCGUUGCAUUAGCUAGUUGGUAAGGUAACGGCAUACCAAGGCAACGAUGCAUAGCCGACCUGAGAGGGUGAUCGGCCACACUGGAACUGAGACACGGUCCAGACUCCUACGGGAGGCAGCAGUAGGGAAUCUUGCGCAAUGGGCGAAAGCCUGACGGAGCAACGCCGCGUGAGUGAUGAAGGUCUUCGGAUCGUAAAACUCUGUUAUUAGGGAAGAACAGAUGUAUAAGUAACUGUGGACAUCUUGACGGUACCUAAACAGAAAGCCACGGCUAACUACGUG
Molecule: ribosomal RNA, 497 nt
Filed under: uncultured bacterium
Lineage: Bacteria
Description: partial 16S ribosomal RNA
Rfam family: Bacterial small subunit ribosomal RNA
Source: RNAcentral